RNAcentral lists this transfer RNA (655 nucleotides) under Acinetobacter dispersus. The stretch from base 60 to 133 matches the Rfam family "tRNA". Lineage: Bacteria; Pseudomonadati; Pseudomonadota; Gammaproteobacteria; Moraxellales; Moraxellaceae. The record is from RNAcentral.
ACGAAAGAUUGGCGAUCGGUAAGAAUCCACAACAAGUUGUUCUUCGAAGAUGUAUCUGAGGGUCUGUAGCUCAGUUGGUUAGAGCACACGCUUGAUAAGCGUGGGGUCACAAGUUCAAGUCUUGUCAGACCCACCAAAUCUGAUUGCAGUAGCUUAGAUUAAAAGAUAUAUCGUUCAUUAAGUGAUAAGCUGGGGACUUAGCUUAGUUGGUAGAGCGCCUGCUUUGCACGCAGGAGGUCAGGAGUUCGACUCUCCUAGUCUCCACCAUACAUUACGAAGUAAUGUAGAAACUAAAGUUAAAUUCCAAGAUAGCUUAUAGAAUUUAGUAAACAAGAAGAUCGAAUGGUCUUGGUUUAUUAACUUCUGUGAUUUAUCACAGUUUACUACUCACCGACGAGGUGGUAGUUAAUCAUUAACAGAUUAGAAAAUUGAGUCUGAAAUAAAUUGUUCAAACUCGAUUAGAUAUAAGCUUAACAAGCAAUUGUUAAGAAGAUAUUUAAUCCGAGAACUAGCAAAUUAACUGAAUCAAGCGUUUUGGUAUAUGAAUUAGAUUGAAGCUGUACGGUGAUUAAAUUCACAGGACAACAGAUGGUAGCAAUUAAGUUUGCAACGAUAACACUCACUUGUAUGUGUUAACGACUGUUUGGGGUUGUAU